RNAcentral lists this ribosomal RNA (253 nucleotides) under uncultured bacterium. RNAcentral's name for it is "partial 16S ribosomal RNA". It matches the Rfam family "Bacterial small subunit ribosomal RNA", at positions 524 to 776 of the family's 1533-position model. The record is from RNAcentral.
GACGUAGGGCGCGAGCGUUGUCCGGAUUUAUUGGGCGUAAAGAGCUCGUAGGCGGUUUGUCACGUCUGCUGUGAAAACUGGAGGCUCAACCUCCAGCUUGCAGUGGGUACGGGCAGACUAGAGUGCGGUAGGGGAGAUUGGAAUUCCUGGUGUAGCGGUGGAAUGCGCAGAUAUCAGGAGGAACACCGAUGGCGAAGGCAGAUCUCUGGGCCGUAACUGACGCUGAGGAGCGAAAGCGUGGGGAGCGAACAGG